Molecule: long non-coding RNA, 289 nt
Organism: Myzus persicae (green peach aphid)
Lineage: Eukaryota; Metazoa; Arthropoda; Insecta; Hemiptera; Aphididae
Exons: 2
Source: RefSeq, a predicted model, not a curated record
AUGCUUGUUAGAGCUCGGAAAUUGAUACGAACACAAUUUUCACAAUAACGUGCUAAGCCGCCACAGAAAAACCAAAUAUUUCACAGACGACGGGUACAGCGUUGUGUGUUACUAUCUUUAUUAUAGGUAUAAUACUGCAGUGCCAUUGGGACGUUUAUUAGAUUCUGGACGGAAAGAUGAAUGUAUAUUGAUUUUACAAUGAUAAAAAUGGAUUCUUUUUGCAGCGUGCGUUUUUUGUUGUUGUAAAUACACGUUUAAUAUGUAAUAUAUUUCGAUCUUAAAUUUUUAA